AUUGAACGCUGGCGGCAGGCCUAACACAUGCCAGUCGAGCGGAUGAAGGGAGCUUGCUCCUGGAUUCAGCGGCGGACGGGUGAGUAAUGCCUAGGAAUCUGCCUGGUAGUGGGGGAUAACGUCCGGAAACGGGCGCUAAUACCGCAUACGUCCUGAGGGAGAAAGUGGGGGAUCUUCGGACCUCACGCUAUCAGAUGAGCCUAGGUCGGAUUAGCUAGUUGGUGGGGUAAAGGCCUACCAAGGCGACGAUCCGUAACUGGUCUAAGAGGAUGAUCAGUCACACUGGAACUGAGACACGGUCCAGACUCCUACGGGAGGCAGCAGUGGGGAAUAUUGGACAAUGGGCGAAAGCCUGAUCCAGCCAUGCCGCGUGUGUGAAGAAGGUCUUCGGAUUGUAAAGCACUUUAAGUUGGGAGGAGGGGCAGUAAGUUAAUACCUUGCUGUUUUGACGUUACCAACAGAAUAAGCACCGGCUAACUUCGUG
RNAcentral lists this ribosomal RNA (484 nucleotides) under uncultured bacterium. Its description in RNAcentral is "partial 16S ribosomal RNA". It matches the Rfam family "Bacterial small subunit ribosomal RNA", at positions 30 to 507 of the family's 1533-position model. The record is from RNAcentral.